This 1368-nucleotide ribosomal RNA is filed under the name uncultured prokaryote. Its description in RNAcentral is "partial 16S ribosomal RNA". It matches the Rfam family "Bacterial small subunit ribosomal RNA", at positions 29 to 1400 of the family's 1533-position model. The record is from RNAcentral.
ACGAACGCUGGCGGCGUGCUUAACACAUGCAAGUCUAAGGAGAACGGAUUCUUCGGAAUCCUAUUAAACUGGCGAACGGGUGAGUAACGCGUAGACAACUUACCCAAAGAUUUGGGAUAACACCGAGAAAUUGGUGCUAAUACCGAAUAAUAUCACGAGAACCUCGGUUCAUGUGAUCAAAGGUGGCUUCGGCUACCGUCUUUGGAUGGGUCUGCGUCUGAUUAGCUAGUUGGUGAGGUAAUGGCUCACCAAGGCAACGAUCAGUAGCUGGUCUGAGAGGAUGAUCAGCCACACUGGGACUGAGAUACGGCCCAGACUCCUACGGGAGGCAGCAGUGGGGAAUAUUGCGCAAUGGACGAAAGUCUGACGCAGCAACGCCGCGUGAUCGAUGAAUGCCUUCGGGUUGUAAACCCCUUUCAGGAGGGACGAAGCGAAAGUGACGGUACCUCCAGAAGAAGCCCCGGCCAACUACGUGCCAGCAGCCGCGGUAAUACGUAGGGGGCGAGCGUUGUCCGGAUUUAUUGGGCGUAAAGAGCUCGUAGGCGGCUCAACAAGUCGGUCGUGAAGCCUGAGGCUCAACCUCAGGAUGCCGGUCGAAACUGUUGUGGCUAGGGUUCGGUAGAGGAGAGUGGAAUUCCCGGUGUAGUGGUGAAAUGCGGAGAUAUCGGGAGGAACACCAGUAGCGAAGGCGGCUCUCUGGGCCGAUACCGACGCUGAGGAGCGAAAGCUAGGGGAGCGAACAGGAUUAGAUACCCUGGUAGUCCUAGCUGUAAACGUUGGGCACUAGGUGUGGCGGACUCAUUGACGUCUGCCGUGCCGAAGCUAACGCAUUAAGUGCCCCGCCUGGGGAGUACGGUCGCAAGGCUAAAACUCAAAGGAAUUGACGGGAGCCCGCACAAGCGGCGGAGCAUGCGGCUUAAUUCGAUAGUACCCGAAGAACCUUACCUGGACUUGACAUAAUGGGAAAAACCCUAGAGAUAGGGUGUGCGGAAGCGUCCAUUACAGGUGGUGCAUGGCUGUCGUCAGCUCGUGUCGUGAGAUGUUGGGUUACGUCCCGCAACGAGCGCAACCCCUGUCCUAUGUUGCCAGCGGAUAAUGCCGGGGACUCAUGGGAGACUGCCGGGGACAACUCGGAGGAAGGCGGGGAUGACGUCAAGUCAUCAUGCCCCUUAUGUUCAGGGCUGCACGCAUGCUACAAUGGGUGAUACAACGGGCAGCGAUCCGGCAACGGUGAGCGAAUCCUGAAAGCCUGUCUCAGUUCGGAUCGGAGUCUGCAACUCGACUCCGUGAAGCCGGAGUCGCUAGUAAUCGCGAAUCAGCUAUGUCGCGGUGAAUACGUUCUCGGGCUUUGUACUCACCGCCCGUCAA